RNAcentral lists this non-coding RNA (26 nucleotides) under Mus musculus (house mouse). Lineage: Eukaryota; Metazoa; Chordata; Mammalia; Rodentia; Muridae. The record is from RNAcentral.
CAGCUUGUGGACUGGUAACUACCUGG